Molecule: long non-coding RNA, 445 nt
Filed under: Mus spicilegus (steppe mouse)
Lineage: Eukaryota; Metazoa; Chordata; Mammalia; Rodentia; Muridae
Description: lncRNA (ENSMSIG00000015585.1)
Source: RNAcentral
CUCGGCUGCUGGUGCGCCGUGAAAGGCCGGCUGGGGAAGACCGGCGGGGCGGCCGCAGCCUGCUCGCCCGGGCGGCAGACGCUCCGAGAUGCCGAAGGGCCAGCAGCGGCCCCGAAGCUCCGGGCUGGCCGCGCUGUCGCUCUGCCGCGCCCCGGUCUCGAAGUGAAGGUGCCUCUUCCUGGCUAGCCCACCUACAUGCUGUCAUCACUGGGCUUCUAAAACUCUCAGUCUUUGUGGCUGCACCCUUCCCUUCUGAAUCCUGAGGACCCAUGAGUGUCAGGCCCAUCAUGAAAUUGGUCUUCUUACUGGAUGAAACCCAAAGUUGUCCCAUGAAGGACUCCUGAAAACCCCUUUCAAGCCUCGGCCACAGAUGAUCUGCGGAAUGCUCAUUAAGGGGGAAACAAAGAGGUGGUUUUGUUUAUUUAUUUAAGGGGAAAAAAUAAAU